Molecule: small nuclear RNA, 191 nt
Filed under: Jaculus jaculus (lesser Egyptian jerboa)
Lineage: Eukaryota; Metazoa; Chordata; Mammalia; Rodentia; Dipodidae
Description: U2 spliceosomal RNA (ENSJJAG00000004991.1)
Rfam family: U2 spliceosomal RNA
About the family: U2 is a small nuclear RNA (snRNA) component of the spliceosome (involved in pre-mRNA splicing). Complementary binding between U2 snRNA (in an area lying towards the 5' end but 3' to hairpin I) and the branchpoint sequence (BPS) of the intron results the bulging out of an unpaired adenosine, on the BPS, which initiates a nucleophilic attack at the intronic 5' splice site, thus starting the first of two transesterification reactions that mediate splicing.
Source: Rfam by way of RNAcentral
AUCGCUUCUUGGCCUUUUGGCUAAGAUCAAGUGUAGUAUCUGUUCUUAUCAGUUUAAUAUCUGAUACAUCCUCUAUCUGAGGACAAUAUAUUAAAUGCAUUUUUGGAGCUUGGAGUUGGAAUAGGAGCCUGCUCUGUCCACUCCUCGCAUUGACCUGGUAUUGCAGUACCUCUAGGAAUGAUGAAACCCCU